AGUGGCGAACGGGUGAGUAACGCGUAAGCAAUCUGCCCCUAAGACGAGGAUAACAGUUGGAAACGACUGCUAAGACUGGAUAGGAGACAAGAAGGCAUCUUCUUGUUUUUAAAAGACCUAGCAAUAGGUAUGCUUAGGGAGGAGCUUGCGUCACAUUAGUUAGUUGGUGGGGUAAAGGCCUACCAAGACUAUGAUGUGUAGCCGGGCUGAGAGGUUGAACGGCCACAUUGGGACUGAGACACGGCCCAAACUCCUACGGGAGGCAGCAGUAGGGAAUUUUCGGCAAUGGAGGAAACUCUGACCGAGCAACGCCGCGUGAACGAUGAAGUAUUUCGGUACGUAAAGUUCUUUUAUUAGGGAAGAAUAAAUGAUGGAAAAAUCAUUCUGACGGUACCUAAUGAAUAAGCCCCGGCUAACUAUGUGCCAGCAGCCGCGGUAAUACAUAGGGGGCAAGCGUUAUCCGGAAUUAUUGGGCGUAAAGGGUGCGUAGGCGGUUAAAUAAGUUUAUGGUCUAAGUGCAAUGCUCAACAUUGUGAUGCUAUAAAAACUGUUUAGCUAGAGUAAGAUAGAGGCAAGUGGAAUUCCAUGUGUAGUGGUAAAAUGCGUAAAUAUAUGGAGGAACACCAGUAGCGAAGGCGGCUUGCUGGGUCUUUACUGACGCUGAGGCACGAAAGCGUGGGGAGCAAACAGGAUUAGAUACCCUGGUAGUCCACGCCGUAAACGAUGAGUACUAAACGUUGGGUAAAACCAGUGUUGAAGUUAACACAUUAAGUACUCCGCCUGAGUAGUACGUACGCAAGUAUGAAACUUAAAGGAAUUGACGGGACUCCGCACAAGCGGUGGAUCAUGUUGUUUAAUUCGAAGGUACCCGAAAAACCUCACCAGGUCUUGACAUGCUUCUGCAAAGCUGUAGAAACACAGUGGAGGUUAUCAGUUGCACAGGUGGUGCAUGGUUGUCGUCAGCUCGUGUCGUGAGAUGUUGGGUUAAGUCCCGCAACGAGCGCAACCCUUAUUGUUAGUUACCAGCACGUAAUGGAGGGGACUUUAGCAAGACUGCCAGUGAUAAAUUGGAGGAAGGUGGGGACGACGUCAAAUCAUCAUGCCCCUUAUGACCUGGGCUACAAACGUGAUACAAUGGCUGUUACAAAGGGUAGCUGAAGCGCAAGUUUUUGGCGAAUCUCAAAAAAACAGUCUCAGUUCGGAUUGAAGUCUGCAACUCGACUUCAUGAAGUUGGAAUCGCUAGUAAUCGCGAAUCAGCAUGUCGCGGUGAAUACGUUCUCGGGGUUUGUACACACCGCCCGUCAAACCACGAAAGUUGGUAAUACCCAAAGCCGGUGGCCUAACUUCGCAAGAAGAGGGAACCGUCUAAGGUAG
Molecule: ribosomal RNA, 1375 nt
Filed under: 'Celosia sp.' phytoplasma
Lineage: Bacteria; Bacillati; Mycoplasmatota; Mollicutes; Acholeplasmatales; Acholeplasmataceae
Description: bacterial SSU rRNA
Rfam family: Bacterial small subunit ribosomal RNA
Source: RNAcentral